Molecule: ribosomal RNA, 253 nt
Filed under: uncultured bacterium
Lineage: Bacteria
Description: partial 16S ribosomal RNA
Rfam family: Bacterial small subunit ribosomal RNA
Source: RNAcentral
UACGUAGGGCGCAAGCGUUGUCCGGAAUUAUUGGGCGUAAAGAGCUCGUAGGCGGCCUGUUGCGUCCGCUGUGAAAUCCCGGGGCUCAACCCCGGGCCUGCAGUGGAUACGGGCUGGCUAGAGGCAGGCAGGGGAGAACGGAAUUCCUGGUGUAGCGGUGAAAUGCGCAGAUAUCAGGAGGAACACCAAUAGCGAAGGCAGCUCGCUGGGACGUCACUGACACUGAGGCGCGAAAGCGUGGGGAGCGAACAGG